RNAcentral lists this ribosomal RNA (449 nucleotides) under uncultured bacterium. RNAcentral describes it as "SSU rRNA". It matches the Rfam family "Bacterial small subunit ribosomal RNA", at positions 26 to 518 of the family's 1533-position model. The record is from RNAcentral.
AGAGCGAACGCUGGCGGCAGGCUUAACACAUGCAAGUCGAGCGGGCGUAGCAAUACGUCAGCGGCAGACGGGUGAGUAACGCGUGGGAACGUACCUUUUGGUUCGGAACAACACAGGGAAACUUGUGCUAAUACCGGAUAAGCCCUUACGGGGAAAGAUUUAUCGCCAAAAGAUCGGCCCGCGUCUGAUUAGCUAGUUGGUGAGGUAACGGCUCACCAAGGCGACGAUCAGUAGCUGGUCUGAGAGGAUGAUCAGCCACAUUGGGACUGAGACACGGCCCAAACUCCUACGGGAGGCAGCAGUGGGGAAUAUUGGACAAUGGGCGCAAGCCUGAUCCAGCCAUGCCGCGUGAGUGAUGAAGGCCCUAGGGUUGUAAAGGCUCUUUUGUGCGGGAAGAUAAUGACGGUACCGCAAGAAUAAGCCCCGGCUAACUUCGUGCCAGCAGCCGC